GAUUAAAAAAAAAUCAAAAAAUAUUUUGCCUCAUAAAGAAUGAACAAAUGAGACAUUUACCUUUAACUAGGCAUACAAAUUGCAAAAACACCCUUUAAAUGAUCAAGAACACUAGAAAUCUGGUAGUAUUCUACCUUACAUAUUUCAAAGGCAUUAAACGCUUGAAGAAAACUUAUCUACCAGUUCCAGCUGUUGCCAGUGAGGAUAAGGGAAUUUUUUUAUUUUUAUUUUUUUCUCUUCUAGCAAAACAGUAAGUCUCAAAACUCUACUAUGUUACUGAAAAAUUCUAUAGUCUAAAUAGAUUAGGAUUCCCACUUUCAUGGCAUGCAACAGACCAGUUCUUCUGCUGAGAAUCACAAAAUUAAUCACAAAAACUGCAAUGCAAAUAUUUGUGAAGCAUUUUUUUAACUGUUUUUUGUGGGUUUGUAAACUUCAUUCCCACCUAGUCCUCUCAUCCUACUUAUAAAAUUUCGCCGUAGUUUAUAUUUUUACUCACAUUAUUAAAACAAACAAACUAACCAAACAAAAUCUCAAAAUACCUCUUUUAGAUAAGACUCUUUGCUUAAAACUUAAAUUUUUUUUAAAAUGCCAGGUUCCUGCCCAAUCUAAUAAGUAGUGUGCAGUUGAGUGUGUGUGGAUACCAGCAAAACUGAAUAUCCACUUUGAAGAAGACAUUUCAGUAUCAUGCUGUGAAAUAAACACUGUCAAGAGACAGCCUAAGGACAGAUCUAGAGUCCACAGAACAACCAGGAGGUCUAAAACAAACCAGUGCUGGAUUAUUUGUAAAAACUCUGGAGAAAAGCAGCCCAGAAUUGUGACUAACAAAAAGUUCUGAGUAUCUCCCAAAGAAUGAAAGUACUUCUACUGCAGAGUAAGACCACAACACAGUGAAAACAGAGUCCCUGAACUGGCACUGUGUGAACCAGGCACAUCCCCAGCAUGCUAGAAUAAUACACUCACCUUGUCCACAAUGCAGAUCUGCUUCUUGCUUUGCACAUCAAGAAUUUCUACUUCAAAGUAUGUGAUUUUUGAAUGUUUGAGCGUUGGUGAUGGUUUGAUUUGGCCAGCAGAGAGCACAAGCUGAGAGAAGUUGAGAAGAGAGCGUGACUCAUUGUGAGACAUGGACAGAGCUCCUCCAUCGGCUGCAGGAUCGCUCGUGUGUUCUGGAGCGCUGGGCUUCUGCCUCUGGUGCAUGGCGUGACCCCGCAGUAGCGAUCGUCAUAUCAACAGGGGACAGUUCCAGGGGAAAAUGUUUCCUCCCUGCAUCGGUUAAAUACAGCCACAGACUGAUGAGACACAAAAGGUCAAGUGGCAUUCCAUUUUAAGUGCACUGUCUUAUUUAGCAGGAGUGAAAACAAUGACUCUGUAAUCCAUGUCUAUAUUUAACCUGCCAUCAUGAUGUGCUGUAUUAGUGCUGCUAAUGAUUUUGUUUGUUUGUUUGUUUUAUUUAAACCAGCAUUUGAAACAACACAACUAGAAAUUCUCUAUCAGAAGAUGUCAGAUCCUGAAAUUCCAGAGCCCCAGGGGAAUCAGUAAUGAAUGGAGUAAAUUCCACUGUUACCUACUGAGACAGAUAUUUAAAGUAUCCACAUAUACACGAGACUGGAGUAUGUCUGCAUUUGAAAGGACCCACACCCAGCAACCAUGUUGCUACACAUCCUAUAUAACGUCAAUUGACAGGACAUGGGACCAAUUCUUUGGAAAGCAGUAAGAGCUGCAGAUGACUGGUCAUCACUGCCAUACAAAAGACACGGCUCCAACUGCUUUCUGUUGCAACUUUCCCCUGAGAGCAAACCACGUACAAGCACCACAGAUGCUGUAUCUGAGUCCAUCCAGUUUAGCGGUCUUUGUGCCAGAGCUCUUUGCAUUAUGUCAGCCCCAGGAGCAACUGUCUGUGCCUGCAAGUUUCUUUACAGAUAAGGAACCUGCUUUGCUGCUGUUGUUAAUACAGAGGACCUGGGACUGUCAUUCUGUUCUCAAAAAGAAGAUGAUUUCUCAUGCAAAAUACAGCAUGGAAAAAACUACUAAAGACACUUGAUCACUGUCUGUUGCAGGAGUUUUUUUGUAGGUUUAGUUAUUAGAAACUCGGGCUUGUAAUGAACAUUUGAAUUCACAGCUUUUCUCUGAAUUCACAGCAUUUAGAACAAAGCUGACUAACCACUGGUGUCAGCUUGUUGUAAGCUAAGCACGGGACACUACCUACAUAGAGGAAACCAAAACUCCCUCUAGCAACAUUUCUUUCAAAACACUUCCUUGCAGACUAACACCCAUUUAAGCCUAAAUACUUCGUUCUUCAUCAAGAAUAAAAAUACAGCUUUAAUGAACAGGGCCAAAAAAAAAAAAUUCUCUUGAUGUUACUCCCAGAAAACAUUUCUGUUUUCAGCUAGAUGUAGCUCUCAAGGAUAAAAAAGAAUCCAUGAAUCUGUCAGAACAGGAACAUAGCAGCCUUCUAUCUUUUUUUUUGCACAGCUUACCACCAGGUCUAAAAUAAUUUCUGCUUGUUCUGCUUUUAUAGUUCUUGUUAUUAUAUGCUAACUACUGCAGCACACCAUUUUAAAAACACUCCUCAACAGAGAGGUUUUUUCGAGAACAGUAGAGGUCCCAGGAGUGCCACACACACAGCCCAGCAGGUCCCCUGUUAUAGGAGAUGCACUGGCUGGAGUCAUUUCCAUUGGCACGAUGCGCAAACCUGUCGGAUCAGGAGACAGGCUGAGCUCCUCAGGCCCAUGCCUUAAGUUAGCACUGCUGAGAUGGUGAUAAAGUAGUCAGACUUCUUCACCAGCAAAAUCCUUAAAGGUUGUUUUAAUAAUGUUCUGUGUGUUGCUAAAGGGCAAGUUCUGUGCCCAAAGUUAAUGGUUUCCUACUUGAUGCCCUUUAGACUUUGAGAGACAAGCAUUUCAGAUUCAGUAGUUUCUCUCGUGAAUAUACUUUUCCAACUGUCUCUUGCAAAAUGCAACCCAGGAAGGCAAAAUAUUUAGCAGCAGAAUGUGCCUCAUUUUCAACCAUUCUGUCAGCUUUGUUUCAAAGAAGCUGAAGUACAGUUUACAUCUCUCCCUCCUGAAAUCCAACAACUGAUGGAAACAACACAGGACAACAUAAAAGUGCCAGUGGGGCAUCUGUAACUCCUUAAAAAAAACAGAACAAGCAGCAAGUCAUUAGUAAGACUACUGAAACCCACAAAUUAAAUUAUAUAUUUCUCCCCUGAGGAAAAUGGGAGACUGAGCAUCAUAAACUAUUCCAGAGGAAAAGACCAUCUGGGCAGAAUUUUGAAAAUCACAGCAAGUGCAUUAGCAUGGACUGGGCAUUUGGCCAGAGGGAGCUUACCAAAAACUGAAGGCCUCAGGGGGCUCAGUGGACAGUGACCUGAAGGCUGAGCUCAGAAACAACACAAACCGAAAAGAAACUCUUUCCAGCAGCCAGACAAAAUUUGGUUUUGCUUGAAUAACACCAGCAUGUUUGUGUUCUUGAUUAAAAGUAACCAAAUGAACCCGCUUAAAAAAUGAAAUAUUGUGAAACCUAAAAAGGAUAGUAACAUUUUAUGGGAUAAAAGACUUUGAGAGUUUUCAGUUUCGUCAUCUCAUUCAGAUGAUUUUAGCCUAGAAAUUAAUAAAAUACAGCCAUUCACACCAUUUGCCCCAGGAAACUGCUUUUUAUACCUUUCCUACAUACACAGUCAGUGAACAGAAGGUAAAUCAAGGAACCUUAAUCGAGCCUGGGAAAAAAAUCUUCCCCUUUCCAUGGAGUUGCAUACCUAAGGUUGGGCUCUCUGAACAUCUUUUAGAUGCCCACCACCAGAAACUCACAAGGAAUGAAAGAUCUGCUUUCUGAUCUGCUUUCAUCACCCCAUGGCCAAAAUUUUGGGAUUAGCAGACUUCUCAGAAAAGCUCUGACCUCUCCCUACUGAUAACACAGUGCCCAGACUCAGCAUGAUGUUCAAGAAAUGAGUGCUCCAGAGAAUUUCUGCGAAGGCAGCCCAGAUUGCUACUGGCUUUUUCUAAAUGGGUUGCAAAUCAGUGUCUAUUUCUGGUCUACUAUCAGAAUACCAGACUCCCUGUCUCCUUCAAUAUUUUCUUUCCCUACUGUAUAAAUGUGUGUGGUUUUGAUAAAACCACUGGACAAAAAAUACAAUUUAAUAAAACUUAACUCAUUUCCA
Pipra filicauda (Wire-tailed manakin) is the source of this 4153-nucleotide long non-coding RNA. RefSeq lists it as uncharacterized. The transcript is spliced from 4 exons. The record is from RefSeq and is a predicted model, not a curated record. NCBI's taxonomy places the organism in Eukaryota, Metazoa, Chordata, Aves, Passeriformes, Pipridae.